RNAcentral lists this non-coding RNA (282 nucleotides) under Oesophagostomum dentatum (nodular worm). RNAcentral describes it as "Eukaryotic large subunit ribosomal RNA". It matches the Rfam family "Eukaryotic large subunit ribosomal RNA", at positions 2067 to 2338 of the family's 3401-position model. Lineage: Eukaryota; Metazoa; Nematoda; Chromadorea; Rhabditida; Strongylidae. The record is from Rfam by way of RNAcentral.
UCUUCGGGCUUAGUAUCCUGACCGACCAUCAAACGAUCGAACUGGAACUGGUACGGACUCGGGGAAUCCGACUGUCUAAUUAAAACAGAGGAGACAGAUGGUCCUUGCGGACGUUUACUGUCUCUGAUUUCUGCCCAGUGCUCCGAAUGUUAAAUCGUAGUAAUUCGAGUAAGCGCGGGUAAACGCCGGGAGUAACUAUGACUCUCUUAAGGUAGCCAAAUGCCUCGUCAGCUAACUACUGACGCGCUUGUCCUCGCAACUGCUAUCGCCAAGUGGUGAGGA